UAGGGAAUCUUCCGCAAUGGGCGAAAGCUUGACGGAGCAACGCCGCGUGAGUGAUGAAGGUCUUCGGAUCGUAAAACUCUGUUAUUAGGGAAGAACAACUGUGUAAGUAACUAUGCACGUCUUGACUGUACCUAAUCAUAAAGCCACGGCUAACUACGUGCCAGCAGCCGCGGUAAUACGUAGGUGGCAAGCGUUAUCCGGAAUCAUUGGGCGUAAAGCGCGCGUAGGCGGUUUUUUAAGUCUGAUGUGAAAGCCCACGGCUCAACCGUGGAGGGUCAUUGGAAACUGGAAAACUUGAGUACAGAAGAGGAAAGUGGAAUUCCAGGUGUAGCGGUGAAAUGCGCAGAGAUAUGGAGGAACGCCAGUGGCGAAGGAGACUUUCUGGUCUGUAACUGACGCUGAUGUGCGAAAGCGUGGGGAUCAAACAGG
RNAcentral lists this ribosomal RNA (429 nucleotides) under Actinomycetes bacterium. Its description in RNAcentral is "Actinobacteria bacterium partial 16S ribosomal RNA". It matches the Rfam family "Bacterial small subunit ribosomal RNA", at positions 355 to 776 of the family's 1533-position model. The record is from RNAcentral. Lineage: Bacteria; Bacillati; Actinomycetota; Actinomycetes.